RNAcentral lists this ribosomal RNA (675 nucleotides) under Triticum aestivum (bread wheat). RNAcentral's name for it is "partial small subunit ribosomal RNA". The record is from RNAcentral. Lineage: Eukaryota; Viridiplantae; Streptophyta; Magnoliopsida; Poales; Poaceae.
AUGGCCGUGCCGGUGUGGUUCUUCUCGCUGGCCUCGCUUGGCGCUCUCCAUGUCGUUGCCAUCAGCUUCCGCCUCAUCGCCUACUUCUCGGUCUUCCACCGCCGGCCCAUUGACCUGCGCCGCCGGUACGGUGCCUGGGCCGUCGUCACCGGCCCAACGUCCGGCAUCGGGCGCUCCAUGGCCCUGGAGCUCGCGGAGAGGGGCCUCAACCUCGUCCUCGUCGGCCGCGACCCGCCCAAGCUCGGGGACAUCUCCGAGAGGAUCUCCAGGGCUCACGCCGCCGUGCAGACCAAGACCGUGCUGUUCGAUUUCUCCCUCGUCUCCACCGCGCAAGGCGACGAGGCGAUGCGGCGGCUCCGGGAAGCCGUGGCGGGGCUGGACGUAGGGGUGCUGGUGAACAACGCGGGCGUGGCGAAGCCGGGCGCGGUGUACCUCCACGAGGUGGACGUGGAGGCGUGGGUGAGGAUGAUACGGGUGAACGCGCUGGCCCUGACGGAGGUGACGGCGGCGGUGCUGCCGGGGAUGCUGCGGCGAGGGAGGGGCGCCGUCGUGAACAUCGGCCCCGGGUCAUCGUUCGGCCUCCCGUCCUACCCCCUCUACUCCGUCUACGUCGCCACCAAGCGGUACGUUCUUGAGUUCUCCAGGAGCCUCUCCGUGGAGUACAAGAGCAGAUGA